AGCGAACGCUGGCGGCAGGCUUAACACAUGCAAGUCGAGCGCUCGUAGCAAUACGAGAGCGGCAGACGGGAGAGUAACACGUGGGAACGUACCCUUCGGUUCGGAAUAACCCAGGGAAACUUGGGCUAAUACCGGAUACGUCCGUAAGGAAAAAGAUUUAUCGCCGAGGGAUCGGCCCGCGUCCGGUUAGCUAGUUGGUGGGGUAAUGGCCCACCAAGGCGACGAUCGGUAGCUGGUCUGAGAGGAUGAUCAGCCUCACUGGGACUGAGACACGGCCCAGACUCCGACGGGAGGCAGCAGUGGGGAAUAUUGGACAAUGGGCGCAAGCCUGAUCCAGCCAUGCCGCGUGGGUGAUGAAGGCCUUAGGGUUGUAAAGCCCUUUCGGCGGGGAAGAUAAUGACAGUACCCGCAGAAGAAGCCCCGGCUAACUUCGUGCCAGCCGCCGCCGUAA
RNAcentral lists this ribosomal RNA (451 nucleotides) under uncultured bacterium. Its description in RNAcentral is "partial 16S ribosomal RNA". It matches the Rfam family "Bacterial small subunit ribosomal RNA", at positions 29 to 523 of the family's 1533-position model. The record is from RNAcentral.